AUUGAACGCUGGCGGCAGGCCUAACACAUGCAAGUCGAACGAGUGGCGGACGGGUGAGUAAUGUCUGGGAAACUGCCUGAUGGAGGGGGAUAACUACUGGAAACGGUAGCUAAUACCGCAUACCAUCAGAUGUGCCAAGAUGGGAGUAGCUAGUUGGUGGGGUAAAGGCUCACCAAGGCGAAGAUCACUAGCUGGUCUGAGAGGAGGACAAGCCACACUGGAACUGAGACACUGUCCAGACUCCUACGGGAGGCAGCAGUGGGGAAGAUUGCACAAUGGGCGCAAGCCUGAUGCAGCCAUGCGGCGGGUAUGAAGAAGGCCUUCGGGUUGUAAAGUACUUUCAGCGGGGAGGCGUUACCCGCAGAAGAAGCACCGGCUAACUCCGUGCCAGCAGCCGCGGUAAUUC
Molecule: ribosomal RNA, 406 nt
Filed under: uncultured bacterium
Lineage: Bacteria
Description: partial 16S ribosomal RNA
Rfam family: Bacterial small subunit ribosomal RNA
Source: RNAcentral